UACGGAGGGGGCAAGCGUUAUUCGGAAUUAUUGGGCGUAAAGGGCGCGUAGGCGGCUAGAUGUGUCAAAGGUGAAAUCCCUCGGCUCAACUGAGGAACUGCCUUUGAAACUGUCUGGCUUGAGGCCGGGAGAGGGUAGCGGAAUUCCCAGUGUAGCGGUGAAAUGCGUAGAUAUCUAGAGGAACACCAGAGGCGAAAGCGAAUCACUGGACAGAACCUGACGCUGAGGCACGAAAGCUAGGGGAGCAAACGGG
Molecule: ribosomal RNA, 253 nt
Filed under: uncultured bacterium
Lineage: Bacteria
Description: partial 16S ribosomal RNA
Rfam family: Bacterial small subunit ribosomal RNA
Source: RNAcentral